Molecule: ribosomal RNA, 1551 nt
Filed under: Klebsiella pneumoniae
Lineage: Bacteria; Pseudomonadati; Pseudomonadota; Gammaproteobacteria; Enterobacterales; Enterobacteriaceae
Description: bacterial SSU rRNA
Rfam family: Bacterial small subunit ribosomal RNA
Source: RNAcentral
AAAUUGAAGAGUUUGAUCAUGGCUCAGAUUGAACGCUGGCGGCAGGCCUAACACAUGCAAGUCGAGCGGUAGCACAGAGAGCUUGCUCUCGGGUGACGAGCGGCGGACGGGUGAGUAAUGUCUGGGAAACUGCCUGAUGGAGGGGGAUAACUACUGGAAACGGUAGCUAAUACCGCAUAAUGUCGCAAGACCAAAGUGGGGGACCUUCGGGCCUCAUGCCAUCAGAUGUGCCCAGAUGGGAUUAGCUAGUAGGUGGGGUAACGGCUCACCUAGGCGACGAUCCCUAGCUGGUCUGAGAGGAUGACCAGCCACACUGGAACUGAGACACGGUCCAGACUCCUACGGGAGGCAGCAGUGGGGAAUAUUGCACAAUGGGCGCAAGCCUGAUGCAGCCAUGCCGCGUGUGUGAAGAAGGCCUUCGGGUUGUAAAGCACUUUCAGCGGGGAGGAAGGCGGUGAGGUUAAUAACCUCAUCGAUUGACGUUACCCGCAGAAGAAGCACCGGCUAACUCCGUGCCAGCAGCCGCGGUAAUACGGAGGGUGCAAGCGUUAAUCGGAAUUACUGGGCGUAAAGCGCACGCAGGCGGUCUGUCAAGUCGGAUGUGAAAUCCCCGGGCUCAACCUGGGAACUGCAUUCGAAACUGGCAGGCUAGAGUCUUGUAGAGGGGGGUAGAAUUCCAGGUGUAGCGGUGAAAUGCGUAGAGAUCUGGAGGAAUACCGGUGGCGAAGGCGGCCCCCUGGACAAAGACUGACGCUCAGGUGCGAAAGCGUGGGGAGCAAACAGGAUUAGAUACCCUGGUAGUCCACGCCGUAAACGAUGUCGAUUUGGAGGUUGUGCCCUUGAGGCGUGGCUUCCGGAGCUAACGCGUUAAAUCGACCGCCUGGGGAGUACGGCCGCAAGGUUAAAACUCAAAUGAAUUGACGGGGGCCCGCACAAGCGGUGGAGCAUGUGGUUUAAUUCGAUGCAACGCGAAGAACCUUACCUGGUCUUGACAUCCACAGAACUUUCCAGAGAUGGAUUGGUGCCUUCGGGAACUGUGAGACAGGUGCUGCAUGGCUGUCGUCAGCUCGUGUUGUGAAAUGUUGGGUUAAGUCCCGCAACGAGCGCAACCCUUAUCCUUUGUUGCCAGCGGUCCGGCCGGGAACUCAAAGGAGACUGCCAGUGAUAAACUGGAGGAAGGUGGGGAUGACGUCAAGUCAUCAUGGCCCUUACGACCAGGGCUACACACGUGCUACAAUGGCAUAUACAAAGAGAAGCGACCUCGCGAGAGCAAGCGGACCUCAUAAAGUAUGUCGUAGUCCGGAUUGGAGUCUGCAACUCGACUCCAUGAAGUCGGAAUCGCUAGUAAUCGUAGAUCAGAAUGCUACGGUGAAUACGUUCCCGGGCCUUGUACACACCGCCCGUCACACCAUGGGAGUGGGUUGCAAAAAGAAGUAGGUAGCUUAACCUUCGGGAGGGCGCUUACCACUUUGUGAUUCAUGACUGGGGUGAAGUCGUAACAAGGUAACCGUAGGGGAACCUGCGGUUGGAUCACCUCCUUACCUUAAAGAA